This 292-nucleotide ribosomal RNA is filed under the name uncultured bacterium. RNAcentral describes it as "partial 16S ribosomal RNA". It matches the Rfam family "Bacterial small subunit ribosomal RNA", at positions 505 to 796 of the family's 1533-position model. The record is from RNAcentral.
GUUUCAGCCGCCGCGGUAAUACAGAGGUGGCAAGCGUUGUUCGGAAUUACUGGGCGUAAAGGGCGCGUAGGUGGCCUUGUUAGUCAGACGUGAAAUCCCCAAGCUUAACUUGGGAACUGCGUCUGAUACUGCAAGGCUUGAGUUCGGGAGAGGGAUGUGGAAUUCCAGGUGUAGCGGUGAAAUGCGUAGAUAUCUGGAGGAACACCGGUGGCGAAGGCGGCAUCCUGGACCGAAACUGACACUGAGGCGCGAAAGCUAGGGGAGCAAACGGGAUUAGAAACCCCGGUAGUCC